Molecule: ribosomal RNA, 385 nt
Filed under: uncultured bacterium
Lineage: Bacteria
Description: bacterial SSU rRNA
Rfam family: Bacterial small subunit ribosomal RNA
Source: RNAcentral
UGGGGAAUAUUGGACAAUGGGCGCAAGCCUGAUCCAGCCAUGCCGCGUGAGUGAAGAAGGCCCUUUGGGUUGUAAAGCUCUUUCAGCGGGGACGAUGAUGACGGUACCCGCAGAAGAAGCCCCGGCUAACUUCGUGCCAGCAGCCGCGGUAAUACGAAGGGGGCAAGCGUUGUUCAGAUUUACUGGGCGUAAAGGGCGCGUAGGCGGAUGAUCAUGUCAGAGGUGAAAGCCCCGGGCUCAACCUGGGAAUUGCCUUUGAAACGGGUCGUCUUGAGGACGGGAGAGGAUGGUGGAAUACCCAGUGUAGAGGUGAAAUUCGUAGAUAUUGGGUGGAACACCGGUGGCGAAGGCGACCAUCUGGCCCGUAACUGACGCUGAGGCGCGA